This 415-nucleotide long non-coding RNA is filed under the name Brassica napus (rape). Its description in RNAcentral is "long non-coding RNA (BNAP_LNC015389)". The record is from RNAcentral. Lineage: Eukaryota; Viridiplantae; Streptophyta; Magnoliopsida; Brassicales; Brassicaceae.
GUUUGGUUCAGAUCUAUUUUGGUUUUGGGUUUAUGGAAUUAGAUAUUUAAGCUUCAUUCAGCUAUCUCAAUAUUUUGGUUCACCUUCGAUUCAGAUUUUUGCGGAUUCAGUUUGAGUUUGAAUAUCUUUUUUAAAUUAGAUAAAAAUCAAGAAUCUCAAUAUACCUUAAAUCCAAAAAUAAAAAUAACAUUCAGUAUUUACAUUUGAAUAUAUAAUGGUAAAUAUAUGAGAUAAACAUAAAAAUGAGUUACUUUUAGCUACUUGGAUAGAGACGUUAUGAGUAUUUUUGAAUAUUUUAACUAUUUUCAAAUAUUUUGGAUAAUUUUGAUUAUUUUUGAGAAUGUUGGAUAGUUUUAGUACAUUCGAGUAAACAUAAUUAAUAUAUUUAAAAAUAUAAUUCUAUUGAGUUAUUUUG